UCUCCAUAAAUUUAGCUGACAUACACCACACCCACCUUUGGUUAUUCGAAUAAUGUUUUGUCUCCGUAUAUACCACCACAUCUUCACCACAAUAUAUAAUACAAGCUAGCUUGGUCAUUCUAUCUCAUUUUACCAUCAUCCUGGUAGAUCAAAUAGGUGUAGACAAUGGCAGAACGGAGAGAAAGGAGAGUGCAAGUGGGAAUAGGAGAUAUCCAGAAUUGAUUCCUAUCUAGCAUCGUUUCACUAGGUUUCAAAAAAAGCAGCUGGGUUAUGCGACCUUAGAGAACAUUCCCUUGUUUCAAUAGUGAAACAACAUAGUACACAAUUUGUACUAAUAAGGACUAGCUGAUUGGAAAUCUGAGAAACUGCAACUGGUGUUAGACCACAAAGAAAGGAAAAUAUUGCAUUUCUCUUAAGCAUGUGACAGAACAAAUUGCAUAGCAGAAGGGAAAACGAAACCCUACUAAACAAGGGUGUAGAAGCAUUUCAGAAAAUCCUAGCAAUCACAACCAUCACACAACCGCCGCGGAGGCAUCUGCCGCUUCUUCGGAGUUUACCUGCUACGUGUGUCCGCCACACAGCCGCCACAUGCAACAGCACCGUCAACGAGGCAGAGCUG
RNAcentral lists this long non-coding RNA (619 nucleotides) under Hordeum vulgare. RNAcentral's name for it is "long non-coding RNA (HVUL_LNC008938)". Lineage: Eukaryota; Viridiplantae; Streptophyta; Magnoliopsida; Poales; Poaceae. The record is from RNAcentral.